ACGCUGGCGGCGUGCCUAACACAUGCAAGUCGAACGGAGUCGGCCCGCAAGGGACUGACUUAGUGGCGAACGGGUGAGUAACGCGUGAGCAACCUGCCUUUCAGUGGGGGACAACAUUUGGAAACGAAUGCUAAUACCGCAUAAGACCACAGUGUCGCAUGGCACAGGGGUCAAAGGAUUUAUCCGCUGAAAGAUGGCCUCGCGUCUGAUUAGCUAGUUGGUGAGGUAACGGCCCACCAAGGCGACGAUCAGUAGCCGGACUGAGAGGUUGAACGGCCACAUUGGGACUGAGAUACGGCCCAGACUCCUACGGGAGGCAGCAGUGGGGAAUAUUGCACAAUGGAGGAAACUCUGAUGCAGCGACGCCGCGUGAGUGAAGAAGUAAUUCGUUAUGUAAAGCUCUAUCAGCAGGGAAGAUAGUGACGGUACCUGACUAAGAAGCUCCGGCUAAAUACGUG
RNAcentral lists this ribosomal RNA (458 nucleotides) under uncultured bacterium. RNAcentral describes it as "bacterial SSU rRNA". It matches the Rfam family "Bacterial small subunit ribosomal RNA", at positions 33 to 507 of the family's 1533-position model. The record is from RNAcentral.